Molecule: long non-coding RNA, 1320 nt
Filed under: Struthio camelus australis
Lineage: Eukaryota; Metazoa; Chordata; Aves; Struthioniformes; Struthionidae
Description: lncRNA (ENSSCUG00000015095.1)
Source: RNAcentral
CGCCCCCCCCCCCCCCCAGUUCCCGAGGCUGAUCUGCUGAGCACGCCGCAGGGUGCUCAGCUGGGCAGGGGACGAGCAGGACCAUGCUGUUCACCACCCCCUGAACCUGGGGAAAGGGCUGGUAACAGGGCCAUGUGCGAGGCCCAGCCUGCCGUGGUGGCAGGGCGGCGUGGGCUGUGCGAGCGGGGCUGCUGGGUUGGUUUCCUUGUGCCGGGAACUCCUGGGUCUCAGCCUUGCCUGGGGCUCCCCCUCGCCAGGGGAGCCAGCGAUGCUGGGGCUCCCGGAGGGGCUGCGGCCUUGGUGGUGUCUCUGGGGAUAUUGCCAGGAAGUGACACUUUCCAUUUCGCACAACACUGGGCUGCGGAAGGGGGCAGGGAGGGGGUUGCUGCUUCGCCGGUGGAGUGCACAGCGAGACACCGCGGGAUGGAAGAGAGGGUCACGUACGCUGAUCUGCACUUCCCCCCGCCCCCAGCUCCUCAGCGGCUGAAGCAGCUGCCCUGGCGCUGUGCAGCCCUCAGCCUGGCUCUCCUUUGCCUGCUGCUCCUGCUGGCACAAAUUGUCCUCGUUGGCUUGAGCUUCCACUUUUUAGGGCAACUGGCAGGCUGCACCCAUGAUCCCUGGAGCACGGAAGAGAGCCUCAGCGGUGGGCGACAGAGUCCGCAAGGGCGAUGCCAGUUCUGCCCAGCUGGCUGGUUCUGGGACGCAGGUCAGUGCUACUACUUCUCUUCUGCCAAAAAGACCUGGGAGCAGAGCAAAGAGGACUGCUGCUCCAGAGGGGCACAGCUGGUCACCAUCCGAACUAACGCCACCCUGGCGUUCCUGACGCGCAUGUCCGACACGGAUAUGUUUCACGUGGGGCUGAAGCGUGACAGUUCCCGGGCUGACUGGAAGUGGCUGGAUGGCACUGCGCUGAAGGGGCUCUUCCCAAUCCAGCGUUUCACCAGCUCUUUCCUGGCCUGUGGGAGGGUAUCUGGCUCAGGGCUAUCUGGCGGCCCGUGUGGGGAAGCCCGCGGCUGGAUCUGUGAGAAGAGCGCUGCUGCCCUGCAAUGGGUCCAGUCUGCACCCCCCACCUUCCUCUGGGGGAACACCACCUACACCUGCGCGGGGCCCUGGUGACCUGCAAGGACCUCCAGCAUGGCCACUCUGGCAGCGCAGGGACCCCACCACCCCUAUCCUACCCCUGCAGUCCAGCCUGAUCCGAGCUCCUGCACACUGGCAUCCUAGAUUGCGGUCUCCUAACGCAGAGCUCUUCUUCCCCCCCAGCCCGGAUCUGUGAACUUCGGCAAUAAACUCUGGCGCAUGGAUGCUGUAGCUGUCUUU